RNAcentral lists this ribosomal RNA (433 nucleotides) under uncultured bacterium. RNAcentral's name for it is "partial 16S ribosomal RNA". It matches the Rfam family "Bacterial small subunit ribosomal RNA", at positions 29 to 507 of the family's 1533-position model. The record is from RNAcentral.
AACGAACGCUGGCGGCAUGCCUAACACAUGCAAGUCGAACGAGACCUUCGGGUCUAGUGGCGCACGGGUGCGUAACGCGUGGGAACCUGCCCUUAGGUUCGGAAUAACUCCCCGACAGGGGUGCUAAUACCGGAUAAUGUCUUCGGACCAAAGAUUUAUCGCCUUUGGAUGGGCGCGCGUUGGAUUAGCUGGUUGGUAGGGUAAAAGCCUACCAAGGCGACGAUCAGUAGCUGGUCAGAGAGGAUGAUCAGCCACACUGAGACUGAGACACGGCCCAGACUCUUACGCGAUGCAGCAGUGGGGAAUAGUGGACAAUGGGGGAAAGGCUGAUCCAGCAAUGCCGCGUGAGUGAUGAAAUCCGUAGGGUUGUAAAGCUCUUUUAACCGGGAUGAUAAUGACGGUACCUGGUGAGUAAGCCCCGGCUAACUCCGUG